CUACGGGAUGCUCCAGGGAAGAAUAUUGUACAAUGGGGGCAACCCUGAUACAGCAACGCCGCGUGAAGGAAGAAGGCCUUCGGGUUGUAAACUUCUGUGACAGAGGACGAAGAAGAUGACGGUACUCUGAGAGGAAGCUCCGGCAAACUACGUGCCAGCAGCCGCGGUAAUACGUAGGGGGCGAGCGUUGUCCGGAAUCACUGGGCGUAAAGGGCGCGUAGGCGGCCUGUUAAGUUGAAUGUGAAAUCCCAGGGCUCAACCCUGGACGUGCAUUCAAAACUGGCGGGCUUGAGUAUGGUAGAGGAAAGUGGAAUUCCUAGUGUAGCGGUGGCAUGCGUAGAUAUUAGGAGGAACACCAGUGGCGAAGGCGACUUUCUGGGCCAAAACUGACGCUGAGGCGCGAAAGCGUGGGGAGCAAACAGGAUUAGAUACCCCCGUAGUC
Molecule: ribosomal RNA, 442 nt
Filed under: uncultured bacterium
Lineage: Bacteria
Description: partial 16S ribosomal RNA
Rfam family: Bacterial small subunit ribosomal RNA
Source: RNAcentral